GAGGUGAGGUUAUACUGAAGCCAGUCCCACAUAUCCAGCAGUCAAGGCCAAAAUGCAAGAAAAAACAUAUGCACCAGCAACAAUGACAGGUUCUUUUACUCCACAUAAUUCAAGGUGGUGAUGUAAUGGUGCCAUUCGAAACAAGCGGUGUCCAGUUCCUAGGAAGUGUUUCGUUGUCUUGAAGAAGGAAACCUGCAGUAUAACUGAUAGUGCUUCGAGGACAAAAACACCAGAUGAGAUGAACAAUGGAAAGAACAUCCCCGUACAUGCAGCCAUAGAAGCUAGAGCACCCCCUAAGGCUAAAGCUCCUGUAUCACCCAUAAAUAUUGAUGCUUUGUAGCGGUUGUGCAGAAGAAAACCUGCACAGGCUCCUGCCAUAGAUGCUCCA
RNAcentral lists this unclassified non-coding RNA (388 nucleotides) under Hevea brasiliensis (rubber tree). The record is from RNAcentral. Lineage: Eukaryota; Viridiplantae; Streptophyta; Magnoliopsida; Malpighiales; Euphorbiaceae.